Small nucleolar RNA from Malus domestica (apple), 99 nucleotides. RefSeq annotates it as small nucleolar RNA R30/Z108. The record is from RefSeq and is a predicted model, not a curated record. NCBI's taxonomy places the organism in Eukaryota, Viridiplantae, Streptophyta, Magnoliopsida, Rosales, Rosaceae.
GGGGAUUGCUAUGAGGAUACCAAGCUCCCUCUUCUGAUUAAGGUUGAGGAAACUUGCCGGCAGAAUCGAACCUAAAAAUUAUCAGCCACCACUGAGUAA